UCCCAGUCUAUGCAUCCUGGGCUCUGUCCCUAAGAGGAAGCCAGACCUUUCUGCUCACCAACUCGUCCCCCUGCACCUUCCUGAUUGAAGCCACAUUCCACGUCAUGCCUGUACAUCUUCCCCUCGCCCUUCAGACCCAGCCCUUUUUUCAAAAUGGUCACAGGGUUCAACUCAGCCUAACUGGACACAGGCCUGGUCCCUGCAGCAUCGAAGAAGCCAGGGGUAGCAUCUUUGGCCAAGUCACCCACUGACCCCCACGGCCUGGCAACUUUUGUGCUUCCCACCUGCAUGUCACCUCUGGGGGUCCCUUCCCUCCAAGAACGUUGCCAUCAGGUGGUCUUUCUGAUUUCCUCUGCUUCAGCAAAGGCCUUAUUUUUUACUCAAGAGCCUGGCUUCCUGAUCUGCACAAAAGAGACUCUCCAGAUGUGUCCUGGAAAAUCCCCCAAAAGUAGGGGGAAAGGUCCCAGUCAAAGCCAAAGCAAGGAAGAGGAAAAAGAGGAAGGAGGAAACUGUC
RNAcentral lists this long non-coding RNA (514 nucleotides) under Homo sapiens (human). RNAcentral describes it as "non-protein coding lnc-ATP6AP2-5:1". Lineage: Eukaryota; Metazoa; Chordata; Mammalia; Primates; Hominidae. The record is from RNAcentral.